GUUCAGCCACACCGUACUGACAUUAAAGCUUGGUUACGAGCCAAAUUCCACCCUCAGGCAUGCACGUGCAAUUCCUGUUUACUUCAGUGGUAGCUGUGCUGUGCUUAUCUAAGGGCACAGCUUGGACGAAGUAUUUAUCUGUUGAGCGUCAGGGUCGGGAACAAACACCACACACCCGCAUACCUUUUUACAGCCACAUUUUCGGCUCCUUUUACAAGCCUCCCUGAUGAAACACCCCCAGGCCUGAAUUACAGACCGGGACACCAGAAAGCAGAAGACAAGCAAAGCAGCUCUCCAAGCAGCCACCAAGCCCCUCCUUGUUGCUCCAGCCAGGCACGAGUCCUAUGACCAGAGUCAGAUGCUAUCAGAUCAAAGGCUGUAUUCAUCGAGAGUGAAGCCGAUUCGGGGAGGUAACCAAAGCGCAGAGGGACUUGGCAAGCAGUUUGUCCUCGGGGGGAAUGCAGAGUUCAAGAAACUCCUGAAGAGUGUGGGAGGAGGAAGACGAGCCUUUGACAUGGAUUCAAGCAGCGUGAUGGGUUCCAGAAGGAAACACAAGGGUCUUUUUACAAACGGGAGAUAGUGACGUGCAGGGGGAAUCUAAAAUCAUUCAUCUCCUGAGUGCCAUUCAUUCCGGCUGAUCCAGGGAGGUGAGACUUGCUCCCCCAUGCACCAGCCUGGGCUGCAGGGAAUAUUCACCCGCAGGGAGAACUGCCUGGUGUACCAGAGCCCUCCUCUCUCACUCUAAAUUGCUGUCAGAGCCUCCCCCUCUUGGACUGUGCUGGCCCCUGGCAUGUCCCCCACAGGAGAAGAACAGCCCCAGUUAGCCUCCAGAGUUCUUUCUGCCUCAGCCAGAGCCUGACAGAAGACAAGCAGGCCCUAAGCUGAAUCUAGCACUCUGAAGGGAGCUAACAUUAAAAGGGAACUAAGAUCCCAAAUCAGCCAGACCCUGAUCCAAAGCCAUUGGGAUCUAUGGGAGUCAGCUCAGAGUCCAGGAGCUGAUCCUCAGCUAGUGGAAACUGCUAUAACGCCACUGACGUCAGUGAAGUUAUAACAAUUCCCCAAGUGAACAUCUGUGUAGACUUAAAGGUUCAACCCUCUCUAAGCUCAAAAGCUUGUCUCACUCACCAACAGAAGUUGGUCCAGUAAAAGAUAUUACCUCCCGCACCUUGUCUCUCCAAUAUCCUGGGACUGACAACAACAUGGCAUGACCCUCUCGAAUGCCUUUAUUUACCUGCCGAGACCUCAGGACAAUGAGCCUAAAUUUUCCCUGGUAGAGACAGAGCUGUGCGGAGAAUGGUAAUUCCAUUUUGCAGAAGAUGUUGAUAUUUUGAAAUUUGGUUUUGUUCCGAUUCAGAGUGAAAAACAGACUAAAAAUGACUGUAAUCAAGUCAACCCGCAACCUUCUCUUUGCUAAGCUAAAUUUAGCUCCUUGAGCCUAUAUUAUCUAUGUGGUCUAGGAAAUAUUUAGUCCUGCCAUGAGUGCAGGCGAUUGGACUAGAUGACCUCUUGAGGUCCCUUGCAGUCCUACGAUUCUAUUGGUAUAAAGCAUGAUUUCUAAUCCUUUAAUCAUUGUCAGGGCCCUUCUCUGAACCCUCUCCACUUUAUCAACAUCCUUCUUGAAUUGUGGGCACCAGAACUGGACACAGGGUUCCAGCAGUGAUCGCACAAGUGCCAAAUACAGAGGAACCUCUCUGUUCCUUCUGGAGAGCCCCUUGUUUAUGUAUCCAGGGAUCACAUCAGCCCUUUUGGCCACAACAUCACACUGGGUACUCAUAUCCACCAUGACUCCCACAUCUUUUCUAGAGUUACUGCUUCCCAGCAUAGGGUCUCCCAUCCUGUAGGCAUGGCCUACAUUCUUUGUUCCCAGAUCUAACAUUUACAUUUAGCCAUAUUAAAAUGCAUAUUGUUUGCAUGUGCCCAGUGUACCACAUAGUCUAGAUAACGUCUUUAACCCAUUUACUGUGUGCCGUGUUAAUUGUACACUGUUCCAGUUAUUUAAUCAAAAUGUCACGUAGCACCAAGUCAAAGCACCAGAAAUCUACGUAUAUAACAUCAGCACUGUUACCUUUAUCAUCCAAACUGGUAAUCUCAUCAAAAAAAGAGAGCAGGUUAGUUUGACAGGGUCUAUUUUCCAUAAACCCAUCUUGAUUGGUUUUAAUUAAUGACCCUUCUUUAAUUUGUUAUUAAUUUAGGCCCAUAUCAGCUGCUCCUUUAUCUUGCCUGGGAUUGAUGUUAAGCUGACAGGCCUAUAAUUACCCAGGUCAUCCCAAUUACACUUUUUAAAAAUUGGCAUAUUAGCUUUCUUCCAGUGUUCUGGGUCAACAUAGCUGAAAGAACCACACCCCGACUGACAUAGCUAGGCAGACCUACCCCCAUGUAGACCUACCCCCAUGUUGAUCGAAAAAAUGCUUUACUUGAUGUAACUACCAUUGUUGAGGGAGACUGUGUUCUUACAGUGCUGGAAAAACCCCUUCCAUCACUGUAGGCUGUGUCUACACUACAUGGUUAAGCCAGCAUAGCUACACCGAUGUAGCCAAAGUGGUGUAUUCCCCUAAGGGUACGUCUUCACUACCUGCCAUUCGGCGGGUCGUGAUCGAUCUAUCAGGGAUUGAUUUAUUGCGUCUCAUCUAGACGUGAUAAAUCGAUCCCUGAAUCGACGCCUGUACUCCAUCUUGGAAGGUUGACUUGCUGCCGUGAGGACAGCAGGGUAACUCGAACUAAGAUACUUUGACUUCAGCUACACAAAUAGCAUAGUGGAAGCUGCGUAUCUUAGUUCGAAACCCCCCACCCCACCAGUGUAGCCCAGGCCUAAGUGUAGACACAGCCUGAAUCACAAUUUGUUUCCGGGUCAGUUCUGGGGUGAUGCAGCUACGUAGCACUCUUUCCUCAGCACAAACUGUAGUUACUGCAAUAUGCAGUACUAUAGAACUUUUGCCUCCAUAUGCGUAUUUACCAAAAUGUCAAUACCUUACUGCAGCAAGACUGUGUGGCUUCAUGGUUAGAGCCCCAGACAGGGGCUCCAGAGUCCUGGGUUCUAAUCCCAGCAAUUUCACUACCCUGCUGGGUGACUUUGGACAAAUUACUUCCCUCCCCAUGCCUUAGUUUCCCCAUCUGUAAAAUGGAGCUAAUGAUCCUUUGUAAACAGCUUUGAGAUCUGCUGAUGAACAGUGCAAUAUGAAAGCUAGGCAUUAUUCUUAUUUAAAAUAACUAAGUGUGAUGAGGAAAGGAAAACUAGCUCAAAGUGCAGUUUAGAAUCCCGAAUCCAAAAGCAAAACCUGCUGGUGGUAAGUGAAAAUGAAAGGGAGCCUGGUCAAGAUGAACUCCCUGCGUCCUGCAACACAGCAAGUAAAAAUGCCCCAGAAUACAAAUGAGAACUCCUACCUGACUGCAGGAAGAAAGUGGAGAUGGAGAUAUUUUCUGCUCUAGCGUAGGCUCCAGAGACCAAGACAGAAAUCUUUGGAGAAGGGAAGAGAGGUGGGAGAAUUCCCAAAGGAAAGGAAAUUCUAGGCUGAAAAAGGAAGAUUUAUGUCUUCCCAGCAUCUGGUCCUGGCUUCCUCUCCUUUCUUCUCACUGCUGAACGUAUGGAAUGCCCUUGAAGGACAGGAAGAAACAACUCUUCAUUAACAGUUAUGAUCUUCACAAGAGCCCCCAGUUUGGAUGUGGCAGAAAUUCCUGAGGAGCUAAGACAGGAUGAGAUCAGAAAAAAUGGAAGGCUUAGAGGGGAGCAACAAAUGUCAGUUGACCAGACAGGCAAAUCAAUGGUAGGGCAAACUCAGGAAACAGAUGGUUCAGAGACCACUUGAAAGUCCAUGUGGUCGCUCCAUGAUGAACACCAAAAAUUAAUUUUCUGCUGCCCCCAGCCUGCUAUGUAAUGGCCAACCAACGGGGGAGCAGUAAUAAUGCCACUGGACAUAGGUGACCAAACAUAGCCUGAAGAACAAAUCCUGAUCUUCUAGUUUAUUCUGGUCAUUGCAACAUUUCCAACUCAUGACUUUAUUGCAAGGCUUGCAAGCACCAGCUCCUAGAUAAGGAUAAACAGAUUGCAGAAGAACCUCAGCUUUCAUUAAAAAAUGAAUUUCUAGCCCUCCUGGAUGCCAAGAAAAGCUUGAAAGUGGGCCUCAGUUGAACCCUAAAGACUCCAGAAGGAGACCCAGGACAAAGAUACAAAUAAUUCAACAUUUAUUUUUCUUAAACAGUCUCAUGAUUUUCAAGCCAAUCUCCUAAUCUGUUGAGGCCCGACUCCUAAUAUCUGACUGCUUGGAGCUGGCAAUAUUGUUCUUAUAAUGUGCUUUUUGUCAAUAAGCUCAUAUAGAAACUUUGGGACCUGCUUCAAUUAUCUGGCAUGAGUUGUUCAUCCACAAAGCAAAUCUAUUAAUCAAUAUGUAAUCUUUCAACGAAUAUUUAGACAUGCGCAUUUCAGAUGCUAGGUUGUUCAUAGACUGUACACCUGGACUACUCAUUAUUUGCUCUAUGUGAUAGUUGGUCACAUGGUAUUGCUUCUGCUCCUCGACUGGAUAACUGAAAGUUUUGAAUAAGUACCAGAAAACAAGCAUUCUUAUUUGCAUGAAAAUACAGAUGUUGGCAUGGACAACACAACCCCAUUUGUGCAAAUAUUUGUAAAUAGGGAAUAAGGCCUUGUCUAAACAAGGGAAACUGACUACCAGAUAUUCUGGAAUAACUAUUCUGGUAUAAUUUACCUUUUCUGGAAUAACUUCCCUAUGUGAAUACGCUAUUCCAGAAUGAAAGUGAUUUCAUUCCAGAAUAAGUAUUUUGUUUCCAAAGCAGAGCAAUUACUCUGGAGUAAAGUCAGCUUUAUUUCAGAACAGGGUGUCCAGAUGGGAGUUAUUCUAGAAUAGUUAUUCCAGAAUAGCUAGUCAGUUUCCCCAUACAGACAAGAAGCAGCCUGAAUUUGGUUGACAUAAACAGCUGUUUGAGAUAUGCAUGUUCAGAACUGUUCUACGUUCCAUGGUUUGUAACAGCUCCCUAGGGGUCAUAAUACAAGCGGGAGAUCACUAACGUGCUGCAUGGUCGAGCCACGCCAUCUCCAACCACUGAUGCACCUGUCAUGGUCACCAGUCUUGUGACUGGUCCACAAACAAUUUCCAUUAACUUCAGGGAGUGUCAAGCAUCACCAGCACUUUCUAAUCCAUAAUCCUGGUCUUUAAAUAAACUCGUCCUGAGGCCUUUCCGUUUGGAGGCCCAUUAAGGCUGUGCCAUUAAGGAUGUCCAUAGACAACUGGCUCAUACGAAAAUGUUUAAUAUUUCCAUCUUAUUUUCUACCACCUUCUUUACACAGCCUAGGAUCUGAAUUCCUCCUUGCUGCUUAAAAAAAAAAAAAGUGACUGUACAUUGACCGGAUGACAUCAUCUUACUUUUUUCAGGUUUUUAGAGGCAUCUAAGUUAUAAAAGGGGAAGGUGUGAGCAUGUGGAUGUUGGGUGGCGAAUAGUGUCAUGAAUAGAGAAAUAAAACAUACUCACUCCAAGCGGAAGCGUGAGAAUUGAGAAAGAUACACACAUGCAUUGAAAACCAUUUGGUAGGUUCCAUAUACUAAGUGACUAAAAGAUAUUCUCUGUUUAAAAUCAGUAUCUAUAUCAGAAGGCUUUGUAGGUCUUCUAGCUUAGAUGGAACACACACACACACACACACAGAGCCCUCUGGUAUUGACUCUGCAAUAUACGGCCUGUCAUAUGUUCUCUUUUAUAAUGUGGACUGUCCCAUAAAGUAGGACAUUUUAAACAUGAGCGCUGCCAUUAAGAAACUGAAACAGUCGCUUAUCAGUCACAGGAUGUCAUGGAGCUGUCUCAGGUUGUGCUUGAAAGCCCCCCUGCAACUUACUGAUAAAAAGCUUAACUCCUUCUCAGGGCUUAUCUGAAGAAGAAAGAAUUAGACCCUCAUGAAAUAACAGGGUUUUUUAUAAGCUAAAAAUAAGAGAGCGAGAGAGAGAAAUCACUUAAAAACUUUAUAAUACAGCAGAACGAGUUUAACCUGCUGUGAUUUUCAGCUAAGGUUUCUGCUUCAUCAAGAAAGAACCCCGUUGUGAAACCUAUGUCAAAAGAGAAAAGAUGUGAGAGGCUGGUCUCUUUCAUAGAUUAGAAGAUUAAUUAAAACAAAAUCACAUAGUCAAAUGUCUUACUGGCGAAAACACACACAAGGCAUACCACUGUGUGUAUGGAAUAUGAGAGUAUGGAAUGGAUAAUCACUUUCAAUUGGACUCUGAUGUGAACUGGAUGAUGCUGAUUCUUGGGAGAAACUCAUGGAAUAUGGAUCUUAUUUCUGCCACACAUUGCGAUCUGCCAGCCUGCUGUUUUUGCACUGUAAUAUCAUUGCUGAACGUGGUUGAAUUGUUGGUUGCAAAUAAAUUAUCCAGCAUAGCCUUUAAUUUUUUCUGUUUAUAAAUCAUUUGCAAACCAAUCCUGAUUUCUGCAAAUGUCAUCAUUCCUCUACCAGAUAGUUUGCAGGAACAGUUAUCAGCCUGCGGGUAAAAUUUUCAAAAGUACUUAAGUGACUUAGAUAGAUGGAUCUAUCCUAUCUAUCUAAGUCCUCUGUUCAAAAGUUUUAUGGGACUUAGGAGCAGAAGUGCCUAACUCACUUUUGAAAAUGGGACCUCAAUCAUCUGAGCAGUGAUGGAUGCACUGUAUUCCAUGAGAGCCCAGACUUAAAGAUGCAGUGAUAACAGCUAUGUGACAAGGUUACGAUGCGCCAUGCAAUAGUGCUAAUAGGCCUAUAAAUUUAGCUAGUUAUAACCUGGAUCAUUCAAAUCUGCUGUAUAAUAUGUAUGUUUUAAUUGUCGGUGGCAGAGUGAUCCCGAUAAAUAUCAAGGGUCACGCACUUGAAGAAAAGCAGAGACUUAUUUGUAUGGGUGUUUUUUAACCUACAUUUGUGUGUCCAAUUACUGCAAUUUUGUACAUACAUCAAGUCUUUGCAUUUGCACAUUUCCAUAUAGAUACCUAUGAAGAUGGGCACAAUAUAAGAGCCUACAUAGAAUGGACUAGGUAUAUCCAGUUUGCAUGCAGAGUCAUGGGAAUCAUAGAAGAUUAGGGUUGGAAGAGACCUCAGGAGGUCAUCUAGUCCAAACCCCUGCUCAAAGCAGGACCAACACCAACUAAAUCAUCCCAGCCAGGGCUUUGUCAAGCCAGGCCUUAAAAACCUCUAAGGAUGGAGAUUCCACCACCUCCCUAGGUAACCCAUUCCAGUGCUUCACCACCCUCCCACUGAAAUAGUGUUUCCUAAUAUCCAACCUAGACCUCCCGCCUGCAACUUGAGACCAUUGCUUCUUGUUCUGUCCUCUGCCACCACUGAGACCAGCCGAGCUCCAUCCUCUUUGGAACCCCCCUUCAGGACCUCUCAACACACCGGACUUUAACAUCUCCUUGAUUAGAAACUGACUG
Molecule: non-coding RNA, 7389 nt
Organism: Caretta caretta (loggerhead turtle)
Lineage: Eukaryota; Metazoa; Chordata; Testudines; Cheloniidae
Source: RefSeq, a predicted model, not a curated record